CUGCCCACCUCGUCCUCUCAAAGUGCUGGGAUUACAGGUGUGAGCCACUGCGCCCAGCCUAAGGCAGUAGUAGAGUUUUUAUAAGGAAUGCAGAGGCACAGAAAAUGAAUGUAACUAGUAGGGAUCUCAGGUAUGGAGGCAAGCUGGUGAAUAAAAUAGUUUUAGUUUGGAGGCUAUUCUGAAAGUUCUCCAGGCAAGCCACAGAGGUAUCUACUCCAUUUGUAAAAGGUAUCAACUUUGGACAUUCAAAUGACAUCGAAAUAAGGCAUUUUGUUUUUCUCUGGACACUACUCUCUUACGAAUUGGAAACUAAGCAAAAUUUAUAAUUUUUUUUUCACUAGCUUCUUUUCAUGUGGAAAAAUAACGCUGGUUUCUUUAUCCUUGGAAAAUAAGUAAUGCUAAGACCACCUAAAAUAGAAGCUGCCAUUUCAAUUUUUAGAGUAGGAAUGGAAUUUCCUUUGUGAACUCUUGCUUGCUGUACAUAAAACCAAGAAAAAGCAGAAGGGAAAGAGACCUUCUUUUGGAAUCUGUAAUAGAACCCCCAAAUUUGUAUGAAUCUUUUUUACAUGUAGAACUCUGUUGGGAGACAUUCUCCAAAGAUCAAGAAUAUAGUCCUAUGGCAUUUGAAAGCUGAAAUUCAUAGGCAGGCUAAUAAUCAUUGGAAAGGUUUUCUAUUUAGGAAAACUUUUCUAUUUAGUCAGAGGAUGGUUGAUUUUUAAGACUUUAAAAGGAAUCAAUUUGUUUCUUUACAUAUAGACCUUUAUGUCAAUAAAUGAUGUAUGUAUUUCACUAAUCCCCAAUAAAAAUGAGCAGUAGACUUUUCUUUAGUUAUAGGUAGAGUUUCUACAGGAACUAGUUCUAACUUUAGUGUGUGUCCUCCUAGUGAAAAUUCACUUUCACUGUAUUUUUUCCCUGAAUGCCCCUCCUUUUCUCAAGCAUGGAAAGGCAUGGCAUAGAAUUGCUGAAGGAAAGAUUCUCUAGCAGUAGAAUAAGAAACUUUUAAGAUAAUACAAAAGAUAUAAAAUAAACUGUACCUUGCUUAUAGGUAAUAGUCUCUAACCUGUCACCUGAAAUAGAGGUGUGUACAGAACCUUUGGUUAACCACCAGGCAAUUUUUGGAAGUCAGUACACAUAUUCCACUCUUUGGGGUAAGUGGAUCGCUACUGACUUUCUACAUAUUUAGCUGGCAUCUACCUUAUGACUCCAGAGGUAAUGCAAUAAGAGAUAGCAACUGCAGCCAAUAAGUAUUUUGCCUGGAAUUCUGUAAUUACAAUCAUAUGUUGCUUAGUGAGAGAGACAUGUUCUGAAAAAUGUCAUUAGGCAUUUUCGUGCUAGUGUGAACCUUAUAGAGCGUACUUACACAAACCUAGAUGGUGUAGCCUACUACACACCUAGGCUAUAUGGUGUAGCCUACUGCUCGUAGAUGACAAACCUGUACAGCAGGUUACUGUACUGAAAACAGUAAGCAAUUGUAACACAAUGGAAAUAAUUUGUGUAUCUAAACAUAUCUAAGCAUAAAAAGGUACAGUAAAAAAUACCAUAUUAGAAUCUUAUGGGACCAUGUUGUAUAUGUGGUCUGCCAUCCAGAUAUAUUUUAAACAUUUUGUCUAUAUAUAAUUGUAUUAAUAAAGAGUACAGAGUAUUGUUCCAUGUAUCUUUAAAAUUUGCAUAAAUAGUGUCCUACUUCAUAUACAUUUUUUAACUUGCUAUUUUCCACUCAAAAUUGUUCGAGAUAUAUCUAUGUUGAUUUAUGUAAGUGAAAGUAAUUAGCUCAUGUAUGUUGAUAUAUGAUGUUCUGUAGUAAGAAUAAACCAAUUUAUUUACUCAUUCCCUUCCUUUAGACAAUGUUAUUCUUUGAAAAACUGCCACAGUGAAAACCCCUGUACAUUUUUCUGUCUAGUCAUAUGAGAGAGUUUCUAUAAAGCAUAUAACUACAUAUGGCCUUGCUGGAUCAUAAGGUGUAUAUAUAUAUGUUCCGUUUUAUUAGGUGGAGUAGAAACUGCUGGUUGCCAACCCUAAAACCCAUGCUCACUUAAUUUUUUUAAUUGGAUACAUGGAUAUCUGGAAGAGAUAUUUCUUAUCCUCCCUUGCUUCUGAGUGUGACCAUUUAACUAAAGUUUGGCUAAUGAUAUUUAAAUGUAAGUGUUUGUGUGGCAGUUUUCAGAAUAUUUCCUUAAAAGCAAGCUUGCAUAUAUCCACUGUCCCUUCUUUCUCUUUGUUCCUUUCUUCUUUACUGGUAUCAGCAAUAUAGAUGUGAGGACUGGAGGUCUAGGGGCCAUCUCGGACUAUGAGAAUAGAGAUGCCACUGUGGGGAUGUCAGACUAGAAGAAAUUUGGGUACCUUCUUGGAGCUACCUUACCAGUAACAAACUUCAUUUCUUGACACUUUAUUGGAGAAAUAUGAACAUAUUUUAUAUAGAAGCACCUGUUUUUUUGUAUUUUCUGUCACAGCCAGGUGUAAUUCUAACUGAUGCAGUAAUACUACAAAUUAGUUUUCAAAUGGUUAUACCUUUUAAUACCCCAGCAAAACAUAAAUGACUUUGUAAUUAUUGAAUAUUAUUUUAUAAUUGGUAAAAGCAUUUAACCAUGUCUCACUUUUAUACAGUGUGAGAAAGAACAAGUAUAUGAGAUCCCCACUCUGCAGCUCAGAGGGGUGGAGCCCAGGGAGGUUCAAUGAAUUGACCAAGGUCCCAGUAAUUUAGUGCAAGGUAAUAAGUAAAGGUUAUCGAGAAUAAAUAUGGUGUCUCACAGACAAAUGCCACAUGCUCCUGUGGGCUCUAAGCAAAGGGGUAUUGUCUUGAGUGUGAUCUAGUUACUCCGACAAAUCUUACCUGUUCUAUUCUCAAUUAAUUUGUAUAACAUCGUGAUUAAAGUCUCUCUUUAGCUGUCCUUUUGCUAAGGAGGAGCAUAUUGAGUUGCAUGCUAGAAUUCCCACUUCGGGCAUUGGCUCAGACUUGGGAGAGUCAUGCCAGCACAAGAAGCUAAUUGGUUUACAGAGAAGGGAGGGGGAAGUAUACAUUUAUCAGAGGGCACCGGCCAAUUGCCUGGUCUCUUGGCAAUGCUUGCCAGCCAAUUUCCAGACUGAAGUUGGCAUUCGAUCUGAAAAGUCACUGAUCUCCAUGCACAGCUGGAGGGUACAGGGCUAAAGAAGCAGAAUUUGAAAAGGAGGAGAAAGCUGAGACCUAAUCCUAAUUUUAAUUUACUUUUUUCCUCUUUUUUUUUUUAAUAUUGGGUGACUUUGAGAAAAUGGAAUGGUAUUAGAAUAUUUAGACUGCUAGGCAGGGUGGGAGAGGCUGUGCUGAGGGAGCUUCUGAGGAUGGAAGGAAGUUUCCUGGGAAAUGUCCAGAAGUGGUUGUGGAGUGGCACUUGAAAUGGCCUGAAUUGUGCUCCUGGCUGCUGUGCCUCCAGAAGGCUCUGUAAGAACAUCUGAGUGUAUACACUCAUCACAGGGCACUUUGGGGUUUAGUUGAUGUCAAGGCUGAGGGAUUCCAUCUCCUGCUAAUAAGAUGUUUACCACUACUACCUUCUUUUGUCACCCCUUAGGUCAGUGCACAAACAGCCCUUGAGUAGAGAAGCGUGUUUGGUCUAGGUACAUGAAAAGAGGGGACUGUGAAGGAAGAAGAGAGACAAACAAUUCAGUGUAUUUUGGCAUCCUAUGAACUGAACCCCAAGUCAAGCAAUCUUAAGAAUAUUCUCUUUAAAAACUUCUACCAAAUAUGUUUUCAACUAAUGUGGGAAAUUAAACUGCUAAAUUCUAAAUCUAUUCUCAACAUCACUAAAAAUUAUAAAUAGGGGAGAAUAACCUAUAUAAAUUAAGCUAUCUGUGCUAGAGGAUGCAAUUCAGUUCAUAUAUGCCCAACAAAUGCCAGCAAAUUUUCCAAACCAGAAUUUAACAAUCUGUGCUUGAUGUAGGAGGGCAACAUACAUACUUAAUAAAAAUUUAAAAUCCAGGCCUCAGGGCUCAACAAAAUUCAGUUCCUGCCUACUGAAUUUCUCAUUGCAAAUAAUAUACUGCAUGAAAAGCUCAAAGAACUAGAAUUUCUACUGAAAUUAGACAGACUCUUACUCCAUUUAAUCAACUGAUAUGAAAUGCUUGGCUCUGGGUGACCCCAUAAAGGCUCUGUUUUUAUUUGAUUCUGCUGCCUCCUACUGAUGAGGAGAACAUGUGGAAAGACGGGGGACUGUGCCAUGAGAAGCAUGGUUCAUGCCAUUGUUAUUCUCACCAGCUAAGGAUUCUGGAUACCUAAUUUCUAGUUACUGUAUUACCUCUAACUAGUUCUGAAAUUGUGGGUGACCUUUUUGCCUCAGUCCCUUCUGGUGCAAAAUCGGAGAAUGGAAGAUGUUCUCUAAUCAAGUCCAGCUUUAGUGGUCUGUGAUUAUCUCACAGUUCUCUCCACUGAUUCGAGUUGCUCCUAACAAAAGGAUAAUACAACAGUGUGGUAAAGACUUUUUUAGUGCUUAGCCAAGUCUGGUUCUCUGCUCCUUCCUGGAUCCACUGCAGUUAGGUAGGGUCGUGUGACUCUCUCCGAUCAAUGGACAGUAAGUGUAAUGUCAGUCUGGGCGAAAGAGAACAGUGAGAUUUCCAUGGAUUCUGUUCCCUGCCAUAGAAACCUUGCAAGUUAAAUGUUGAGAUAGCAGAGUCUUAAGAUGGAAAUGAUAGGCUCCCUGACUUGAAAGCAUGCUACUGUGGCAAGCCAUUGGAUUUGCAAGGAACUUAGGAGGGUAAAAACUAAACAUGAAAAACUAAGUUAAAUUUUUAACUCCAACACUUCCUGGUCUAUAUACGACAAAUACAUAGCAUUGCUGCAAACACAGAUGUGGCUCACCCAGAAGAACCCACUUAUUCCUCUGAAAUGAUUAUUCACAGGCAAAGUCACACAAUACAUAACAUAGGGAGCAAGUGUUCCUGUGUUUACCUUUAAAAGAAGACCCAAGGAAUAAACACAGGCUAGAGAUGUUUAACAGAGUACACAAUAAUCACUCAACAAAUGCUUGUUUAAUGAAAUCAUACUAUAAAGUUUCCCCACUGGUGUGUUUGGUUGGGAAAAGGGUAUGUGCGGAGGGUGAACUUGUUGAAAGCAUCUCUAUAUCCUGAGCACCGUAGCACAUGGUCAUACUCAAGAAGUGUUUGUUAAAUUCAGAUGAAAUGAGUGAACACUUACAUGGUGAUGCGUAUAGUUGGCUUUGAAACUGACAAUAUUAGAAAUGGAUGUUGGUCUCAUUCCUGACUCAUAGCUUACACUUAAAAGUAGAAAAUACCUAAAUCUAUACACGUAUAUAAUUGCCAUCUACCAUUUAUUCAUUCAGUAAAUAUUUAUUGAGUACCUGCUUUGCCCAAAGUGUUAUGUUAAAGACUGGAGGACUGGAUAAAUCCUCAUUGAGUUUACAUUCUGGGGCAUGAGGGCUAGGUAAUGACAGGAACAGGGGGUGGUGGACACUACAUAAUUAUUUAAAUAAAAUCGUGGUAGGUAUGAUGGAGAAUUACAGGAUGAUUUGAGAGUAUGUGACUAGAGGACCGAGUUUCAACUAGUUGUCAAGGAGGGCUUUCAGUUUUAACACAGCUCAUUGUUCCUGUUAGGAUAAUUGGGUAACUCCAAGACUUGGCUGGAUUCUUUAGCCCACAUGUGAAAUCUUGCAACUGUGGCACUGCUUUCAACCAUAGUGGUAGCUAAUGUCAAGGGAAGGCAGACGCUUUUUCCAGUAUUGCUUGAGUUUUGAUAUAGGAACAUUAGUCAGGUACCCUAAAUAUUGCAGGACUUUGGCUUUGAAAAAUAGAAAAUGGAAGGAAAGUAAUUCUGUCCUUUUUUUUUUUUUUUUUUAAAUCUGUACCAAGUUUUGUAAGUGGUUUUAACAUUCUAAUGUGGAGUCCCUCCUUAAGGAGGAGAAACUAUUAUUUGCAGAUGAGAAAACUGAGACAUGGUGGGGUAAGCAACAUACCCAGUCACAGUGAAUGAAUGCCCGGGCAAAAAAUUGGAAGCCAAUCAACUUGGCUCCAGAAUGACAGCAUUUAACUCCUGCUUUACACUGCACUGCCUCUCCAAAUGCUGGAUGCUACCAGAACAGAGCCACCUACGUUAGGGGAUCAAGUUCCAAGGUUAAUGUACAACCCAUUAGCAAAAUUACCUUGGAAGAUUCUUAAGAAGGUUUCUAAAUAAAUAUAACGUGGUAUUUUUUUUUCUGACAGCUCGGAACAUGUUGCUAAAGAGCAGUUCUGUGGGCAGCCUUGGACUGAUCCAAUUUUUCCCCUUUUUUGCUUGCGGUUCUCAGAAUAACUCUAGAAUGUGGUGAGAAUGCAAUGUCCUGAGAUAGGAAGAGACCAACCAGAUAGCCUGGACUCUGUUCUAGUCCCCUCUCCUCUAAGACACAGAAUGUCCAUUACAAUGCUUUAGCCCAGUGAAUCACGUGGACCCAGGGUAUAAAACCCAGAGUGGGCUGCGUUCUGUGGUCCUUCAGCUGCUGUGCAAGUGGGGCACCUGCAGACAAGACAUUUGUUCUGGAUAGUGUUUUCCCGAGUCUUGGGUGACCAACUCAUCCUGAAUCCUAAGCUUCUGUUGUCUCUUGAUGUCUAUCUGUACGUAAUAAACUCACUUUGUGCUGUUUGUUGUAUAUGUGUGUGAUCUGUCUUGCUGGACUCAGACAAGUUAGUACCCAGUGCACAGGGAAACUGCUUCACAGAAGCUUAUAGGGGGAUAUUGUUAUGGUGAAUUACAGACCCUUUUAAAGGAAAGCAAAGUAUAUCCAUGAAAGUGGUUUCUCUCUUUUCAUAUAUUAUCUAAAUGAUUUUAUCUGCUAUGGAAAAUGAUAAACCAAUUAAGGUAUUUGAAAUUGUUACGAAUAUGACAUGGCCUAAAGAAUAUAUAUUUUUUUCUCUUCUACAAAUUGACUUCUCAGUGACUGAUAUCUGUCUGUCUGUCUAUCUGGCUAGCUAUCUACCUCCCUACCUACCUAUCUGUUUUGGUGUGUUUUAGGAUACAGUUGUUGUUUAAGACGUCCUGCUGACUGUAGUAGCAGCUUUUAUGCAGUCUCUUAUUUAUCACCCUCUUACCUACUGGCUGUGCCUAAGCUCUAGGUUUUGAUUGAGUUUGACUAACUUACCUCUACUGACUUGUAAUGGUCGUCUUAAUUUUUAAUUUGUAACUUUGGGGAAAAUGUCCGAAUUAUCUCACUGGGAUUUAUUUCACCAAAUAGUGUCCUGUUCACUAUUCACAUCCCUGUUGUUAGUUUCCUCUAAUAUGGGAACCAAUCUGACAUGGCCAAAGGUCUACACAACAGGAGAUAAGAAGAAGAAAUCCUCAUAGAUAGUUAGACAUAUUGAGAAUUAAAGAUAUUGGGUAUUAUUACUUAUUUUCUGACUGGUGUUGUCUUUUGUUUAGUUAAAAAGAUUUCCCUCCAAAUCACUUCUCAAACUGUGGGAACCAACUUGACAUGGCAAAAGGGUUGGACCACAAGAGAUAAAAAGAAAAAAUAUUCAUAGAUAAAGAUAUUGGAAGAGAAUGCAAACAGACAGAAUAUGUGAAAAUAUUUGCUAAGAUAUGCACUAAAAUGUUACUGUAAUUCUGAUUCAGGUUCAUUCUGGAAACAAUGAAGGCAAAAAAUAUAAAUAAAAUACCAACUAUUAUUUGGAGGCAAAAAGUAACAAUUCAAACAGUAUUUGAAAGAAAAAGUGAUACUGCUAUGGCAAGAGAAACCAAGAAGGAGGAGGGGAGAAAAACCCACAAACCUUCAAGGGCUGCCAUGCCUUCCUCUCAUGAUGUAGCUGGGAAAUGUACAAUUCAGGGCUGCUAAUGCAUGGAAUAAAUGGACAGUCUUGCUAACUCCUAU
Non-coding RNA from Macaca mulatta (Rhesus monkey), 7820 nucleotides. NCBI's taxonomy places the organism in Eukaryota, Metazoa, Chordata, Mammalia, Primates, Cercopithecidae. The record is from RefSeq and is a predicted model, not a curated record.